ACCUUUGUCGGUGGCCAGCAUUGGGUAAUUACUGUACCUUAUGACCCAAAACGGCAUCUUAUGUCCCUCCAAGAGAUGCCUUUAUAUGGAGGAUCAGAGAUUAAUUUAGCAUGCUUCAAGUACUCAACACCCUUCUUAUCACCUCUGUUGAAAUGGUUUGAAGCAAUCAAUAUAUUCUGCUGUCUUAUUGUCCUUACAUGUCCCACCCAAGCUUCCAAGUCAUCUUCUCUAUCCCAUCCCUGCUCAGUUCAUGCCUCCAACUAUUAUAGAAGAUCACUUUGUGACACUGAUGAUAAAUAUUUUAGUUUGUGAUUAAUGAGCCUGUAGUUACUAAUGACUUGGAUUGCUGUCCCAAAACUUGAUGAUUUGGGGAAAAGACUUCUGCUGAUUGGAGGUGUCAGUUGUAUUUGUUGUAGGAAUACUGUCACAUAUUAAACUAACAUAUUCUUACUAUGCUGCAACUUGUCAUAUGCAACUAGAUAGGGAAGGAGUUAAAAUGAAAUGGUAUUGGUACUUGUAACUUCAGCGCUAGCAGUACUUCAGAACAUAUAUAGGGACAUUUUCAAGAACUGGGGGCUUCUGCGAAGGCAUUCACAGAACCCUUACUUGAGAGAUGAACUCAUAGUUCCAUUAUACAAAAGGGGUAUACUUAAUAUACAUGGUAACAAAAAAUUGAUCAAAGGCAAAAGGGUGUGUUCUAUUUUAUUGCUCUUGGAUAUUAAUUCAAUCUCUUUUCAAUUUCAUAGGUCCGGGACAUAGUUAAAAUUUGUUGGAUGAAAUUGGUGUUUGAAAUGGAUUGGUGCCCCUGGUUCAUUGAGUGGCGAUUUGUUGAGAGUGUGUGGAAGAUAGUUAUGGGAGGAGGUGGGGGAGCUCCAGCUCCUAAGGUAGAUGAGCCAAACCCACACCCAGAAAAGGAUCUGCUAUCAGAUGUUUCUUAAUGGAAUGUUUCUCUUCCAUGGUGUAGCACAAGAGAGAAGAAGAAAGGUCGCAUUGGGACCAAUGCUUUCAUCCCUUUCUUCAGAGAGCCAAGUAGCAUUGGAGACUUUGAAAGGGGGAUCAACAAUUACUGGCAUUAAGGCCUUCCAAUCCUCUUAAGCGAUCCAAAAUUCCACCUUAUGUCCCUCCAAGAGCUACCUUGUGAUCUGGAGGAUCAGAGAUUUGUUUAGCAUGCUUCAAGUGCUCAAGACACUUCUUAUUUUCUCUGUUGAAAUGGCUUGCAGCCAUAAUUCUCAUCCUUACAUGUCCCACCCAAGCUUCCAAGUCAUCUACUCUAUCUCAUCCCCUAAAAGAUGAUGAUUUGGGGAAAAUAUCUCUACUGAUUGAAGGUGUCAGUAGCAAUAUAUGAAUUCUAUUACAUAUUAAACUGACAGAUUCUUACUAUGCUGCAACUUGUCAUGAAACUAGAGAGCAAAGGAGUUGGAAGGUGCUGACACUUGUAACUUAGUACUAGCAGUACUUCCGAACACAUUUUGUAACCUAAGUACUAGUUCUGUGAAGGCAAUCAAAGAAACCCUAUUUGAGAGAUGAACACAUAGUUCCACAUAAUAGUGUCUACUUCAUAUCCAAGGUCCUGGGCAUUGUUCUUAAAAUUUCAUGGAAGCAGUUGGUGUCUGAAAUGGAUUGGAACCCCUUCAUAGAGUGGCAAUUUUUUGUUGAGAGUGUGUGAAAGACAAUUGUGAAAGGAGGUGGGGGAGUUCCAGCAAAAUAGAUAAGCAUCAAGGCCUACGCAUCAACACUAACCUUUGUUCAAAUUCUUAUUAACAAAAACUAAUAACAUUAACCUUUGUUGAUAAAAAAAUUAUAUUGUUUAACCUUUUCAAGAAACUCAAAACUCCUGC
Glycine soja is the source of this 1838-nucleotide long non-coding RNA. RefSeq lists it as uncharacterized. Lineage: Eukaryota; Viridiplantae; Streptophyta; Magnoliopsida; Fabales; Fabaceae. The transcript is spliced from 3 exons. The record is from RefSeq and is a predicted model, not a curated record.